This 497-nucleotide ribosomal RNA is filed under the name uncultured bacterium. RNAcentral describes it as "partial 16S ribosomal RNA". It matches the Rfam family "Bacterial small subunit ribosomal RNA", at positions 28 to 507 of the family's 1533-position model. The record is from RNAcentral.
GAUGAACGCUGGCGGCGGGCCUAAUACAUGCAAGUCGAGCGAACAGACGGGACGCUUUCUUCUUUGAUGGUAGCGGCGGACGGGGGAGUAACACGUGGAGAACACACCUAUAAGACUGGGAUAACUUCGGGAAACCGGUGCUAAUACCGGCUAAUAUUUUCAAGCGCAUGGUUCAAAAGUUAAGGACGGUCUUCCUUUCACUUAUAGCAGGAGCCGCGCUGCAUUAGCUAGUUGGUCAGGUAACGGCUUACCAAGGCAACGAUGCAUAGCCGACCUGAGAGGGUGAUCGGCCACACUGGAACUGAGACACGGUCCAGACUCCUACGGGAGGCAGCAGUAGGGAAUCUUCCGCAAUGGGCGAAAGCCUGACGGAGCAACGCCGCGUGAAUGAAGAAGGUCUUCGGAUCGUAAAACUCUGUUAUUAGGGAAGAAGAUAUGUGUAAGUAAAUGUGUACAUCUUGACGGUACCUAAUCAGGAAGCCACGGCUAACUACGUG